GCUAAGUAUGGUGGUGCACACCUGUAAUCCCAGCUACUCAAGAGGCUGAGGCAGGAGGAUCACAAGUUUGAAGGCCAGCCUGGGCAACUUAGUGAGACCCUGUCUCAA
Molecule: small RNA, 108 nt
Filed under: Marmota monax (woodchuck)
Lineage: Eukaryota; Metazoa; Chordata; Mammalia; Rodentia; Sciuridae
Source: RNAcentral